RNAcentral lists this small nucleolar RNA (107 nucleotides) under Gossypium hirsutum (cotton). RNAcentral describes it as "Plant small nucleolar RNA R71". It matches the Rfam family "Plant small nucleolar RNA R71". Rfam says of the family: R71 is a member of the C/D box family of snoRNAs containing the C (UGAUGA) and D (CUGA) box motifs. The record is from Rfam by way of RNAcentral. Lineage: Eukaryota; Viridiplantae; Streptophyta; Magnoliopsida; Malvales; Malvaceae.
AACCCAUAGUGAGGAUACUUUCGCAAUAAGUCCUUAUACGUCUCCCAUGCAUCAUAUAAGGUCUCUAAGUCGAUCUGAAUGAAGAAAGAGAUAUCAUUGCUCAACUU